UCCAGCAGUAGUCAGCUGUUCAGGCAUCUGCUGUGCCUGUAAUGGUGUUACACUGCUGGGACAGUGACCUGCUGUGGUCUGGCUCCAGGGGGCGCUGUUAUAGCACCCCUCAGAGUUCAGGCUGAGGCGGGAGAGCCCUCUGAGCUAGGACAGAGUCUGAUUUACUGUGGCUCAGCCCUUGACAAGAGGCCUCACAGC
Molecule: small nucleolar RNA, 198 nt
Organism: Cyprinus carpio carpio
Lineage: Eukaryota; Metazoa; Chordata; Actinopteri; Cypriniformes; Cyprinidae
Gene: SNORA74
Rfam family: Small nucleolar RNA SNORA74
About the family: U19 belongs to the H/ACA class of snoRNAs. snoRNAs bind a number of proteins (including dyskerin, Gar1p and Nop10p in the case of the H/ACA class) to form snoRNP complexes. This class are thought to guide the sites of modification of uridines to pseudouridines by forming direct base pairing interactions with substrate RNAs. Targets may include ribosomal and spliceosomal RNAs but the exact functions of many snoRNAs, including U19, are not confirmed.
Source: Ensembl